This 25-nucleotide non-coding RNA is filed under the name Rattus norvegicus (Norway rat). The record is from RNAcentral. Lineage: Eukaryota; Metazoa; Chordata; Mammalia; Rodentia; Muridae.
AAGACGCUGUCGGGAUGGUAAAGGA